GAUGAACGCUGGCGGCGUGCUUAACACAUGCAAGUCGAACGAUGAAGCCCAGCUUGCUGGGUGGAUUAGUGGCGAACGGGUGAGUAACACGUGAGUAACCUGCCCUUAACUCUGGGAUAAGCCUGGGAAACUGGGUCUAAUACCGGAUAGGAGCGUCCACCGCAUGGUGGGUGUUGGAAAGAUUUAUCGGUUUUGGAUGGACUCGCGGCCUAUCAGCUUGUAGGUGAGGUAAUGGCUCACCAAGGCGACGACGGGUAGCCGGCCUGAGAGGGUGACCGGCCACACUGGGACUGAGACACGGCCCAGACUCCUACGGGAGGCAGCAGUGGGGAAUAUUGCACAAUGGGCGCAAGCCUGAUGCAGCGACGCCGCGUGAGGGAUGACGGCCUUCGGGUUGUAAACCUCUUUCAGUAGGGAAGAAGCGAAAGCGACGGUACCUGCAGAAGAAGCACCGGCUAACUACGUG
Molecule: ribosomal RNA, 466 nt
Filed under: uncultured bacterium
Lineage: Bacteria
Description: partial 16S ribosomal RNA
Rfam family: Bacterial small subunit ribosomal RNA
Source: RNAcentral